This 390-nucleotide ribosomal RNA is filed under the name uncultured bacterium. RNAcentral describes it as "bacterial SSU rRNA". It matches the Rfam family "Bacterial small subunit ribosomal RNA", at positions 618 to 1009 of the family's 1533-position model. The record is from RNAcentral.
GAAUUGCCUUUGAUACUGCAUGUCUUGAGUCUGGUUGCGGUAGGCGGAAUGUAGUAUGUAGCGGUGAAAUGCAUAGAUAUACUACAGAACACCCAUUGCGAAGGCAGCUUACCAAACCAGCACUGACGCUCAGGCACGAAAGCGUGGGGAGCAAACAGGAUUAGAUACCCUGGUAGUCCACGCCGUAAACGUUGAUCACUCGUUGUUGGCAAUACACCGUCAGCGACUAAGCAAAAGCAUUAAGUGAUCCACCUGGGGAGUACGGUCGCAAGGUUGAAACUCAAAGGAAUUGACGGGGGCCCGCACAAGCGGAGGAGCAUGUGGUUUAAUUCGAUGAUACGCGAGGAACCUUACCCGGGCUUAAAUGUAGGGUGCAUCCCCGAGAAAUCG